CGACCGGCGCACGGGUGAGUAACGCGUAUGCAACCUGCCCGUUUCAGCGGGAUAACCCGGAGAAAUCCGGCCUAAUACCGCAUGUGGCCGAGGGGAGGCAUCUUCUUUCGGCCAAAGGAGGCGACUCCGGAGACGGAUGGGCAUGCGUGACAUUAGCUUGUUGGCGGGGUAACGGCCCACCAAGGCGACGAUGUCUAGGGGUUCUGAGAGGAAGGCCCCCCACACUGGUACUGAGACACGGACCAGACUCCUACGGAAGGCAGCAG
Molecule: ribosomal RNA, 266 nt
Filed under: uncultured bacterium
Lineage: Bacteria
Description: partial 16S ribosomal RNA
Rfam family: Bacterial small subunit ribosomal RNA
Source: RNAcentral